Molecule: ribosomal RNA, 1237 nt
Filed under: wastewater metagenome
Description: SSU rRNA
Rfam family: Eukaryotic small subunit ribosomal RNA
Source: RNAcentral
ACAAGGUUUUCAUAAGGCCUUUCAGGUUUGCUUUUUCUAGUGGCCAGGCAGAGGAGUUUCUUACCUAUCAGCUCGUUGUUUGUUUAAAGGACAAACCAGGCUUUGACGGGUACGGGGAAUCAGUGUUCGAUUCCGGAGAGGGAGCCUGAGAAAUCGCUACCACAUCUAAGGACGGCAGCAGGCGCGCAAAUUACCCAAUCUCAAUACGAGGAGGUAGUGACAAGCUAUAGUGACUCCACACUAUUUAGUGGGGAGGUAUUGUCUUCUGACGAUUUUCCAUGAUUUGGGUGUAGAUAACCCUUAGAGUAGCCAUUGGAGGAAAAGUCUGGUGCCAGCACCCGCGGUAAUUCCAGCUCCAAGAGCGUAUAUUAAUACUGCUGUAGUUAAAACGCCCGUAGUAUACCUAAGAGUGUGCAUGUAGUAAUUAGUUUUGCCAGAGGACGGUUGGCGAGAGUUUAUCACCCUUGCUUGCCUACUUUUGGUAGACUUCAGUCGGGCUGGAUCUUUGGUCCUCGUCUGACAGUUGCUACGUGCGUACUUACCACGGUUCAUCCGUGAGGCCCUUGGCUUGCAACUGUAAAUAAAUCGUUGUGCUUAAAGCGGGCUAUGAUACUCUGCCAGAGCGAUUUAGCAUGGGACUGCAGAGUAGCUGUAUUUGAGUGAAGGUUGUACUUCGGUAUGGCUGGAGCUUGGUACAGCGCUUGUAAUGGAGCUCAGGGUGAGGCCCCGGGUACCAUGAGGCUAGAGGUGAAAUUCUGAGACCCUCAUGUGACCAACUAAGGCGAAAGCUGUCGUGGGCCACCACAAGCUCGUCUAUCAGGGACGAAAGUUGGGGGAUCGAAGACGAUUAGAUACCGUCGUAGUCCCAACUAUAAACGAUACCAACCGAGUAUUUGGGAAGACACUAUCCCAGCGAUCUUCUCAGAACUCAAGGGAAACCUUAAGUCUUUGGGUUCUGGGGGGAGUAUAGUCGCAAGACCGAAACUUAAAGGAAUUGACAGAAAGGCACCACCAGGAGUGGAGUCUGCGGCUUAAUUCGACUCAACACGGGGAAACUCACCAGGUCAGGACACAAGUUUCAUUGACAGGUUAAUAGCCCUUUCUUGAUUGUGUGGUGGGUAGUGCAUGGCCGUUUCCAGUUCGUGGAGUGAUCUGUCUUGUUAAUUCAGAUAACGAACGAGACCUAAGCCUUUAACUAGCCGUAGGCCUUUUCCUUCGGGGAAGGGUUAGUUUGUCG